RNAcentral lists this long non-coding RNA (2673 nucleotides) under Vigna radiata. RNAcentral's name for it is "long non-coding RNA (VRAD_LNC010442)". Lineage: Eukaryota; Viridiplantae; Streptophyta; Magnoliopsida; Fabales; Fabaceae. The record is from RNAcentral.
AAAUGCUUUUAAAUUGAAUGAAGAAGAAAAUUUCUUAAACACACAAAAUCAUUUUAUUAAUGUUGUUUUAAUUGAAUACUUGGUAUACUUGGUGGGCUGUCGCAACCCACACAAAUUUGAUGUGCAAAUAAAUGCAGUAUAGCUAGGGAAUGACCCCUAGGUCGUCUCUCAAAGACUAAUUUUGCGGUUCGAGAAUCGAGUCUAACACGAAGGGGGGGGUUUGUGAAAAUGGUUUUGAAAAAAUUAAAGAACUCAAUAUAACACAGAUGCAAACAAACUAAUUUAAGCUAGCAUGGUAAUUAAACUAACACUAUUAAAAACCUUAGACAACAUUCAAACAAAAUAAAAUAAAAUACUAGACCCCAACAAGACAACAAACAACUACCCAACACAGUUAAAUUAAAUUAAAUGCAAAACUAAAUUAAAGAAAUCAAAAGCAACUAAUCCUACUAAUUAAUCUAAUUCAAAUAAGGAAUAAUCAAACAUGUUUUUUCCUACACAUUCAUGUGACCAAAUACAUCCAACCAAAUAAAAUUAAAAAUGCAAAUGGCCUAAAAACACCUCUUGGCCGUGAGGUUCCUUGCACCACAUCCAAAUUUGUCUUCUUUCUUCAAUAAACAAUUGAAUAUGCUCUCUUUUUGUCCCAUGUGCCUCAUUCUCCAAGAAAAUNCUUCCUUCUACCUUUCUACCAUAAAAAAAACGUGGCAUACCCUCUCUAACAAGCCAAGACCGUCCUCCCUCUUAAAGUCCAAAGAAAUUUGGUGUUUCCAAAACCAAAGGUCAAAUGAGAUGCUUUAAAUGCUUCAACACAAAAAGUNGAGUUGCUUCUACCAAUGUGCCACAUAAGCAAAGUCAAAGGGAACAAAAACAAUCACAAUACAUUCUCUUCUUCAAGCAAUUCACGUCAAGCUAGCAAAGGGUCAAGACCAAAAGGGCAAUAUUCCUUCCAUGGUAAAUGAGCCCUUCAUGUGCAUGGUCAAAUGAGGUAAAAAUUAAAUGAACCCUUUGUCUCUCCCUUCUCAACCUAUUUUCGGUUUUCACACCAACACAAACAUGCAAAUAGCUUCCUUUCACCUUCCAAAACCGAGAACAACUCCAAAGAACCCAAAGUUUCAAUUGCAAAAGCUUACAAGAACAACAACCCCAAAUUUCAACUUCUACUAACCAACCUAACACUCAUUUUUCUUCAAACUUUUAUGAAAAUCAAAAUGGAAUUUCUACUCCACCUUGCAGCACCGUCCAACUCUCCAUAAGAAACACAAUGUUCCAUUUCAUAUAUUACUUCCAACCAUUAAAACAAAAGCACAAGAAGAAAAGGGUUCAAGCUCCCAACAACCAUGCAUUAACUCAAGUCUUUUUCAUUACUAAACUCAACAAGAACUCCAUUUUCAUCAUCCAACCAAGAAAACCAAAAGGGAAUACGAAAUUACUGCAGCCAAGGAAGAGAAAAACGAAAUACAAAAUGGGUCUUCAUUCAACCAAAGGAAACACCAUGAAAAUACAAAGAACCACCUCCAAGCUCAAGCUUUCAACAUUCAAAUGGAAAAUGCAAGAAGAGAAAUGAUAGAUCUCCAUUCCAUUAAGCAAGAACAAGCAUGUUUACAAGCAAGAGAAGAAGAAAAACGAAAUCUUGUUCAUUCCAUAGCUCAAAACCGAAAAUGGCACACCAAGGCUCAAAGAGAGAGUUCAUACAAGGCAAAAGCAAAAGCAAAAUGUAGUAUCAAGUGUGCUAGAGUUUUUGUCUCGGCAAUUCUACUCAAAAUGCCUUCCAACCUCAAAAUAGGUGGGGUCCACACAUUGGGCUUCUACAAAAUUUCCACUAAAAGGGCCCAAAAACACCUAAUCUAAUUAAGGUUUCUAAAAAAACGAAAUUACAACUUUAUUAAAAUGGAAAUGACUAAAUGUUGAGUCUUGAAUGAUCAUGCCACCAUCCCUAAUGCUCCAAAUGAUGUUUCCCAAAAUUUCCCUGCAACCAAAGUACACUUAAUCAGCUCAAAAAACCCAAAUUAGCACAAUUACGAAUUUUCGACCAAAUUAAGCAGAAUUCGGAAAACGGGGAAAUAACAGACAAAUAAACACAAUUCCCUGGUUUAUUUAAGUGCAAUAAACUAAAUAUAGUUCAAGAAAUAACCACUCAUCAAUACUUACAACUAUAUGCUCUAUAAUUAAAGAAAUCCUUAUCAAUUUUAACCAUGUGUAUAUAAAAAAAAUAAAAACAAAUGCUUUAUUUUGUAAUUAUUGUAUAUGUAAUAUGGGUUAAAUAUGUUUUUAGUUUCUAAACUAUCAAGUGAAUUUGAUUUUAGUCCCUCUUUCAAAAUAAGCUAUAUUUUAGUCCUUCUCCUUAAGAAAACCAUAAUUUUUCGUCCUCCAAAACUAACGGCGUUAAAGAGAGGUUGAGUUGGCUAACGGUGAAGUGCUAUGUCAUUUUUUUCCUGAGUCAAUCUUCCCAGCUUUUCUCCCUCCCUCAUUGGCGUCGUCUCUAAUUUCUCGCAUCGAACCACCACCCAAUAACCGUGCCACCAUCACCAGCCAUCCUGGUCGUCACAAAUCCACCAUGAAUGCCCCAUAGCCACCACGAUCUAGAAACCUGACCCAAAAUUCGCAGAACCCUAAUUGUGAUGGCAACCUAUAUCGCAUCUUCUCCCUUCUGUCGCGCCACCGUUCAUCUCCUCC